CCGCUGACGUAAAAACUGCCUGGAAACACAAAACACUAAGUCUGUUUGGUCUGUCAGUCCACAUUCCUUCCUGAUUCUCCGUUUGCUCCAGGUUUAAAACUGAAGUACCUGGUCUUCCUUGGCGUUUCUUUUCCUCCAGAUAAGCGAUCACUUCCUUUGGAUCUGGGCUGUCAGCGUACCUGCAGACACAGCGCCCCCAAGAGGCCAGAUAGAGAUGCUUUGAUUCUCAACCUGUGACAAACAGAGCUUCGUGCUGAAGAGCGAGAGGAUGAAGUCCACCAGCUGGACGUGAUCUUCAUCAGU
Molecule: long non-coding RNA, 303 nt
Organism: Poecilia latipinna (sailfin molly)
Lineage: Eukaryota; Metazoa; Chordata; Actinopteri; Cyprinodontiformes; Poeciliidae
Exons: 3
Source: RefSeq, a predicted model, not a curated record